GUUUGCAUCCUGCUUAAGUACUGACUUCAGUAAGGAAGACAUUAGAAACUCUCCGAGAAGUCUCCAGAGGUCAAAGUCUGCUCCUGUGUCUCCUUUGAUGUCAAGUGCCAGAUCAGGUUUCGAAGCUUCAAAUUCUGCUACGGCAGAUGUUACCCCAGAGAAAGCUAGUCCGACAAAAGUUAAAUCAUCAUUUAAAGGAAAAAUUUCUAGCUUAUUUUUCUCUAGGAAUAAGAAACUGACCAAAGAAAAACGCAAUACAUCUCAAUGCAAGGAGGAAUUGAAUACUUCUGUUGCGGAAACACUUGGU
This 307-nucleotide unclassified non-coding RNA is filed under the name Hevea brasiliensis (rubber tree). The record is from RNAcentral. Lineage: Eukaryota; Viridiplantae; Streptophyta; Magnoliopsida; Malpighiales; Euphorbiaceae.